Long non-coding RNA from Dicentrarchus labrax (European seabass), 1508 nucleotides. RefSeq lists it as uncharacterized. The record is from RefSeq and is a predicted model, not a curated record. The transcript is spliced from 6 exons. Lineage: Eukaryota; Metazoa; Chordata; Actinopteri; Moronidae.
CGCCUUGCAGAGAGAUCCAGCCUCUAAAUUUGAACAGGAGGGAGACGAGGUGACUGAGACUUUUGUUGCUGCUCUCUCUUGCGCGCACUCUCUCUCUCUCUCUCUCUCUCUCUCUCUCUCUCUCUCUCUCGCAAUGUUAUUUUUCCCCUCCUCUCCCAGUAGUGUGUGGAGAGAUUUUUUGGUAUGGAAGAGCAAGAGGAGGUGCAGAUUUCAGCUAGUGCAAAAUAGAACAAGGGGGAAGUAAAGAAAAUAGGAAAAGAAGAAGAAGAAAAAGAAGAAGAAGAAGAGAGAAAGACUUCACCCCCAUCUACCUCUUCCUCUCCCUCAUUCCCUCCUCUGCCACAGCUUUUAUCUCAGAAAUAGCGGAGGGACCAACUUCAAAAGGCAGUGAGGAAGGAGCUGGAGUGUGAAAUCUGAGAAGAGAAGCAAGAUGAGAGGCUGACCGGCGCUGUGUUUGCUAUGCUGUCCAGGAGUUGCCAGGAGAGCAGACUGGGACGUGCAGAUGACACCUGGCAGUAAUCUCAGUAAUCAUGGAAGACUAAGCAGAGGGAAUGAGAAGGAAUACACAAAGUGGACAUGACUGCCUAUACCUUCUGCCAAGCACCGUAGGCCCUGCAGAGUAGAGAAAAGAAACAUUUGGAAACUAAACAUAAAGGCAAAUCGGAAGCGAGCUGGAAGAACAACGAGCAAAGGGGGCAUCCUGGAUCCGAAAGGGAGGAGCUGCCAGGAGAUAUUACAACAUCCUCUGUGCGGACCACAAAGACAUCGGACAGUAAAUGGACCCAAACAAAGACAUUAAUAAAGAUGGUUGUAAACUGAAAUUGGAUGUAUGCAUUUGUGUAUGAUUGUUUGUGUGAAAUGGGCUACAAUAUCACAAUAAUACAUUAUUAAUUUGUUUGUCAUGCUAAUUAAAGCUACAUUAAUAUGGCAAAAUUAAUUUGUCACGCAAAUACUCAUUUUAUUGCAGUAUCCAAAUAUUCAUAAAUGUUUUAUGUGCCAGCUUUUAUUGCUUUUCAUGUGCUCAUUUCAACAGGUAAAGAGGAUACAAAGGUUUCAUGAGUACCACUGUGGUGAGCUGGUAAUGUAUUGUUCAUACUGUAUGUGCUCUACAUACUGUGUGUGCUGUACAUUGUGACACAGCUGUUAAAAAGCUUUGUCUCUCUCUCUCUUAUAGCCAUUUCAACCAGGCCAGGACAUGUCGAGGAAUGGUCCGUGAACAUGAGACGCGUAUGACAGCCUCACUGAAGUGAGCCUCAACUGCCCAUAAGCACACAUACACACAUUUGUGUGGUGUAGCUACAUGAUAUGUUGACCCUGACAUACAUACAGCUGGACCGACGCACACACACACACACACACACACUUCUGGCAUAAGUGAUAUCUGUUUUUUUUUGUUAAUGUGGCUCCAGUGCCGAGAUAUUAAGAUGUUUUUCUAGAGGAAUGUCUUUCUUUUGUCUUUGUAAUACAAAAAAAAAACUGAUGUUAAUAAAAUAUUUAUUGAAAAUCUC